This 455-nucleotide ribosomal RNA is filed under the name marine Metazoa environmental sample. Its description in RNAcentral is "SSU rRNA". It matches the Rfam family "Eukaryotic small subunit ribosomal RNA", at positions 587 to 972 of the family's 1831-position model. The record is from RNAcentral. Lineage: Eukaryota; Metazoa.
AGCUCCACUAGCGUAUAUUAAAGUUGCUGCAGUUAAAAAGCUCGUAGUCGGAUCUCGGGAUCGUGUCGGUGAUUUGGUUGCUUCUCCUGCGUUUCGGCGUUGGGGGUUGUGGCCGGUCAUCGGCCCUGCCGGCGAGGUCCCUACCUUUGGUGGGGUUCCACCUCGCUCGUGCAGCCCGCCGUUGCGAUUUGGCGGGUGUCCUUAAUUGGAUGCCCGUCUCGAUCGUGACCAUUUUACCGUGAACAAAUCGUAGUGCGCAAAGCAGGCUCUCUAUCGCUCGAACGGUAGCGCAUGGAAUAAUGGAAGAGGACUUGCUCUCGCUUCUGUUGGUCUCACGGGGGCAGGUAAUGAUCAAGAGGGACGGAUGGGGGCAGAGGUAUGUCUCGGCGAGAGGUGAAAUUCUUGGACCCUAGACAGACCCUCGAGAGCGAAAGCAUCUGCCAAAGAUGUUUCCA